GCCGGCGUGUUGGAAUUGGCAGACAAGGCAGACUCAAAAUCUGUUGGUGUGUGAGCACCGUGCGGGUUCGACCCCCGCCGCCGGCA
Molecule: transfer RNA, 86 nt
Filed under: Eubacterium sp.
Lineage: Bacteria; Bacillati; Bacillota; Clostridia; Eubacteriales; Eubacteriaceae
Also listed under: 1 other name
Description: tRNA-Leu
Rfam family: tRNA
About the family: Transfer RNA (tRNA) molecules are approximately 80 nucleotides in length. Their secondary structure includes four short double-helical elements and three loops (D, anti-codon, and T loops).
Source: RNAcentral